UCGGUGGUGAUCCUUCAGAUGACAUUUUUCUGUUACCACAAACAAUCUGUUUUAGCAAUUUGCUUCAUUUAUUUUCAAAAUAAAAGAUAUACAAACGUAUAAUUCUUUGAAAAAGUGCAAAUUCACUAUCACACAUUGUUUGCUAGUCCACAAAUUCAUAAAAUGUCAUCUAAAAUAGAUCUUCCCAAUAGACCAACUACACAUGAAGUAACCACAACUUCCCAACAAAUAGCAUCAUAGCAGGAUACGAAUAGCAUACUAGUAUAAUCUUUAGCAAUAACUAAGAUCCUAUAUAGCCUAUCACGUACUAACCAACACACAAGACUCUGAUUCCUGGUUGUAUUAAUCUGGAUAGUUCUAACAGUCCUGGACCUUUGUGUAACAGUCUAUAUUAGGUCCUAGCAUGCACGAAGUUCAGAUCUAAAUAAUGACUCUGAGCUAUAACACUAUAUCCUAACCAAAUAUUAACAAAACUUCAUUCCGUACUCUUAACUCUUAACUCAACAUGAGUUGCUGACUCAAUCACCAAGUCCAAAUAUCACUGAUAAGGGUAGACUCUCUGUCUAACCUAACCUAACGCAGUUGACUUAAACCUGUAGCUCUGAUACCAACUGUGACAGCCCAAAUCCGGGGUAUAGAUUUGGUGUCACUAAAAGAAAUAAACAAAAUAAUAAAAGUGGUUGGUGAAUGCUGAAAAGAGAAACUUAAUAAUAAUUUACAAAUUCCACCCCUGACCAAAGAUCUUGCCAGGUUUAAGUCAGAAAAAGGUUUAACAUCUAUUACAACCAAGACAACGAUAUUGGUUCAUCUCUAUAAGAGAUUCCACUACAGCCUUACGGGUACAUCUACAAUACAGACUCAAAAGAUAACCAAACAAACUCGGGUCCAAAGCUCCUCGCAUUCUCUCUAGAAGUUCCCAACUCAAAAGACGGUGCCUAGGAACUCUUACACGCAGCUGCUAUUUUUCCUUGACAUCUGAAAGGGUUAGUUUUGAAAUAACAAGUGUGAGCCAUAGAAAUGCUCAGCAAGUAUAACAUUACACAAAAAUGGAUAGUCAACGAAAAAGGAAAAAAAAAAAAAACAGUUCUAUAGCAAUGGAGUGAAACAGAACUUUUAGAGCUGUAGAAGUAAUUACAAAAUCAAUCACAUUUGGAAUACGAAAAUCUUUUCCAAAAAUCAUUCAUUGUUUAAUUGGGUUUUAAGUAAGACACCAUGCUAUAGCCGAUGAUCAGUCGCACUAUAGUCCAUAGAACCUAGUCUUUUUCAAGCUAGGCCACACAAAUAUUACGAAAUCCGGUAUUCCGGGCUGAAGAAGCCACCUUUCACGCUGGGCCGGUGUCUAGGCCUCUUACGCAAACCUACCCAAUUUAUAGGUUUCAAAACUACAGCUUUAACAAGAUAUAAAUUUUUAAAGAAUUCAAGUAGCUUUCAAAUUCAUCAUGAAUUAUGAUCUGUUCAACAAGUUAGAAGCUGAUGCUCAAUGUGAAUGACAAUAUCAAGCAUUACUAAAGAAGAUUAAAUCAUAAUAUAAAAUAAAGUUUAAGGUACUUGUCUCUGAUUUGCAAGAGAAAGGUAGAAGUACUUGCCUUGACAAAAUGUAACUAGUGAUACGAAGGCUCUAGGUUGCUAAGACUUCUGAUUGGAGCCUACACAGCAGAAGACUAGGUCUUAACUUCCUGAACUUAUCAUCAUAUUCUCACAUAUUCUCACCGACAUCUAAUUGCUACCCUUCGUUUAUACAACAUAGAAAUCAAAUAAACACAUAGCACAUAAUGGCACAAAAACCCUUUUUAUAGCCAAUGAAAAACAUAUAAUUUCUAAUAAAAAUUCGGCAGCAUCUCCUCUAUUUAUAGGCUUAUCCACAUGUUUUCAAUACCAACAACCAGCCAAUACGCUAACACAUGAAUUAGUAAUAUAGAAAGCUGCCUUGACUUGCAGUAAUAUACAAAAUACGAUUAAUAAGAUACACAAGGUCAAGCGAGCCAAUCAAUUAAACAAUCAAUUAUAUGCAACUAACCAAGUAUAACCUCAUACUAUGUACUAACAAAGGAAGAAAAUUAAAACAAAUAGUUCAAACAGCCCUCACUCUAAGAUUUUUAAUAAAUCGAAAAUUUAUUGUUUUAAUACAAAAUUUUUAUGAGACACUCCUAAGACUUGUUCCAACCUACAGUAAAAUUUUCAGAAAGAAACUCCAAGUGUAAAGCAGUAAAACAGGCCUUCCACUCAGGCACCAGCAGUUUGUCCUAUAAAACCAGUCCGACGCUAGGAUUUUUAAUAAAUAGAAAAAUCGGUCUGUUUGUAUAAAAUUUUAAUGACACAUUACAGACCCCAACAUCUAACUCCAGUAAAAAAUUUAAGAAGCAAAGCAACAGUAUAAGGUAGCAUAACAGGGCCCGGAACAUGAGACAUAAACCUGCCCAGAAUUUUCUGCACACCUCGCACUAAAACAUACAUAUCUUUUAGCUCGUUUAUUAAAUCAAUCUAAUUCUUUCGCGAGUAGAAACUAGGUUCCAAGAAGUAUUUUUCCACAAAAUUUCAUUACCCAAUAUCACUCCUAGGGCAGUUAAUUAUUGACGCAAAACAGAGGUAUGACAGAAAAUAUUUUGACAACAAACAAUCGAUCAUUAGACAUUACUAUUACCAAUCCAUACUAACAUCAAAUCCCAACAAUUCAUUCAACCCGUCUUCAAUUGACACCUAUACACAUACAUGUAAACAUAUAACUUGAAUUAUGCGAAUACUACUCAAUCAAUUCUUAAUCACAACUCACAUGUAUAUACUCAUUUAAACUAAAAUGAAAUUAGCUACUUAAUAACUCAAGAAUCAAUUCAAUCCAUAUAAGCACAACACCGCACAUAUAUAUACAUAUUUAUAUAGACUGAAUUGAAUAAGAGAAAUUAAGCUUAUACCCCCUGACUUACAACUAGUGGAGGCCUAGGAUGUCGCCGGAAAAAGAAGAAACAGGCGGCGAUGUGGAUUGGCCGGGAAAAUCAAUGACCAGUACUUGGGAGUAUAUCUCGAUGGGGAAGGAAAAAGAGUAGAGACGUGACUUGGAUGGUUGAAGAAAAGAAGAAGAAAAAAAAAAUGAAAGAGGGAAAAA
Molecule: long non-coding RNA, 3100 nt
Filed under: Daucus carota (carrot)
Lineage: Eukaryota; Viridiplantae; Streptophyta; Magnoliopsida; Apiales; Apiaceae
Description: long non-coding RNA (DCAR_LNC001983)
Source: RNAcentral